AUUUUUUUCAUUUACCCUCCAUUUAAUGCUGGUGAGAGAGAAAACAUGUUAUUAAAUUAUGUAUAUUAAAUAAAGAAAAUUUGAAAACUUAUUAAAAUUUUAGAUAGAAUUAAUGAAACCUCUCUCUUGAUACAAAGAGUUCUAGGUUCUAUCUCCCGUAGGUCCAAAAAUGGGUGGUGAUUAAAAAUUUGUUAGGUUAGGCGGGUCAUUGUGUAGGUUGUGUAAUGAUCCUAAAUUUAAAAAAAUAAAUAAAUAUAUAAAUUAAUAAUUUUUUUAAGUGAUAUUUUAUUUAAAUUAAUUUUAUAGCAAGUGGAGAGAGAUAACUUAAUAAAAUUAUGUUAAUGACUUCCUUAAAGCUUUAGAGUUUGAAUUCUAUUCGGUAAAAAAUUGAUUUUUUAUUUUAUUUUAAAUUAUAGUAAAAUUUUAUGUCUUUUCUUGUAAUUUUCAUCGUGCCUGUUUUGUAAUUUUUUUCAAUUAAGUAUUAGUGUCAGAUUUUUUGUUCCUGCACCGCCAUUCGAAAGUCGGAAGGUAAUGAAAGGGUAAGAAAUUACACAUGUGCCCUUGUUUCCAUGGUAACUCAACAAAAAUAUCUAAGGAGGUUAUUGUAAUUUUCCUUUUCAUGAUUUAAAAAAUUUGCCUUCCCUUUCUCGGUCAGCAUCGGAGAGAAAAAAGCAGUUCUUUGAUUUUCUUUCCUUCUUCAUCUUCCUCCGUCUUCGGCGUCAUCAAGUGAGAGUGUGCCAGAGCUUCAUCCGUCACUGCUUGUCAGAUCAUCAACGUCCUUCUCCUUCCUCUGUGCGAGUGAUGAUGUGAAUGUUCAAGUCUCUCUCUUCCCUUUCAUUUUCCUUACCGUUCGUCGCUGCUGAAGACCAUGGAAGCUCUGUUGAAGCUCUUCCUCUGUUAGCAUUUAAGACUCUUCUUCCUUCUCGCCGUCCGCUGCUGGUGACUGGAGAAAAACACUGAAACCCCUUCCUUUGACAGUGCUGUGGCGCGCGUUCUCAUUGGGCUUCUUCCUCCCCUGUUUUUCUUUAUUGUGAACUCCUCUCCUCUCCUCCCUCUGUUCGAGCUGCUGUGACAGGAACUUAGAGAUCAAGCAUUGACGCAAGAGUGCCAAGUAGAAGUAAGUUUUACGUUUGAGAACUUGUCAGAUGGUAUGGUUGAACUCGUGACUCGAGAUAUCCACUGAGGAGUGUUAUUGCUGAAUUGAAGCUGAAGAAUUAUUUUUGUCAAAUCCUAAAUUGAUGAAAAAAUUUGAACUUUAUACCUACGUUGGUGUCUGGCCUUAGAUGCUCCACGUAGACUACAGGUAGGAUCCUUACAUUUCUUUUAAGAUUAGAUAUCUGAUUUAAUAUUGUAAUAAUUUCUAACUACUCUAUUAGUGUGUUUAACGUAUUAAUUUUAGAGUUUCUCCGAUCACGGCUUAAGGGAUAUGAGUGUUGUGCCCAUAUCCCGUGCCGAUCACACCUAAUUUUUGGGGUGUGACAGGUUGUGUGCCGUGUGCUGGGUGGUGAGUGAGUGAUGGAUGUGUGUGGGAUCCCCCUUCCCUCUAGGGAAGGUUUAGAGAGGUUUGAUACAAAAAAAGUAUAGAAUUAAUGAGUUUUAAAAUUUUCUUUAAUUUUCUUAAAACAUAUUAGAAAUAACGUAUAAACAAGAUCAAAAAACUAUCUUCCUUUCAGCGGUUGAAGUGUAAUGAUUAUAGAUUUGCAAUGCAUUGUAUGUCCCAUAAUCGGUCCCAUUCUUCUACCCUUUACAAGGAGUUGAUGACUAUUCAUAUAGCUAUUAUCUUAACACCAAAAAAGAGGAAAAAUGAGGGAGUCAUGCACCUACCACAAAGGCAACACGAUCACCAAAACAUUUAACAAUCUCUUCUGCAAAUAAAGGUUCACCAACACCGUACGGAGACACAGAACCAGCAUUUUCCCCACCAUCA
Molecule: long non-coding RNA, 1927 nt
Organism: Prosopis cineraria
Lineage: Eukaryota; Viridiplantae; Streptophyta; Magnoliopsida; Fabales; Fabaceae
Exons: 3
Source: RefSeq, a predicted model, not a curated record